UACGGAGGAUGCAAGCGUUAUCCGGAAUGAUUGGGCGUAAAGCGUCCGCAGGUAGCAGUUCAAGUCUGCUGUCAAAGACCGGGGCUUAACUUCGGGAAGGCAGUGGAAACUGAACAGCUAGAGUAUGGUAGGGGCAGAGGGAAUUCCUGGUGUAGCGGUGAAAUGCGUAGAGAUCAGGAAGAACAUCGGUGGCAAAGGCGCUCUGCUGGACCAUAACUGACACUCAGGGACGAAAGCUAGGGGGGCGAAUGGG
Molecule: ribosomal RNA, 253 nt
Filed under: uncultured bacterium
Lineage: Bacteria
Description: partial 16S ribosomal RNA
Rfam family: Bacterial small subunit ribosomal RNA
Source: RNAcentral